Molecule: ribosomal RNA, 421 nt
Filed under: uncultured bacterium
Lineage: Bacteria
Description: partial 16S ribosomal RNA
Rfam family: Bacterial small subunit ribosomal RNA
Source: RNAcentral
AAUAUUGGACAAUGGGCGAAAGCCUGAUCCAGCCAUGCCGCGUGUGUGAAGAAGGNCUNNGGAUUNUNAAGCACUUUAAGUUGNNNNNAAGGGCAGUAANUUAAUACCUUGCUGUUUUGACGUUACCGAUAGAAUAAGCACCGGCUCACUCCGUGCCAGCAGCCGCGGUAAAACAGAGGGUGCAAGCGUUAAUAUGACUUACUGGGCGUAAAGCGCGCGUAGGUGGUUCAGUAAGAUGGGUGUGAAAGCCCCGGGCUCAACCUGGGAACUGCUUUCAAAACUGGCAAGCUAGAGUAUGGCAGAGGGUGGUGGAAUUUCCUGUGUAGCGGUGAAAUGCGUAGAUAUAGGAAGGAACACCAGUGGCGAAGGCGACCACCUGGGCUAAUACUGACACUGAGGUGCGAAAGCGUGGGGAGCAAAC